RNAcentral lists this ribosomal RNA (254 nucleotides) under uncultured bacterium. RNAcentral's name for it is "partial 16S ribosomal RNA". It matches the Rfam family "Bacterial small subunit ribosomal RNA", at positions 524 to 776 of the family's 1533-position model. The record is from RNAcentral.
UACGUAGGGGGCAAGCGUUGUCCGGAUUUAUUGGGCGUAAAGAGCUCGUAGGCGGUUCCGUAAGUCGUGAAGUCAAAUCUCUGGGCUCAACCCAGAAUCGCUUCCGAUACUGCGGUGACUGGAGUCCGGUAGGGGAGUGUGGAAUUCCUGGUGUAGCGGUGAAAUGCGCAGAUAUCAGGAGGAACACCAACAGCGAAGGCAGCACUCUGGGCCGGUACUGACGCUGAGGAGCGAAAGCGUGGGUAGCAAACAGG